Daphnia magna is the source of this 1091-nucleotide RNA transcript. RefSeq lists it as uncharacterized. The record is from RefSeq and is a predicted model, not a curated record. Lineage: Eukaryota; Metazoa; Arthropoda; Branchiopoda; Diplostraca; Daphniidae. The transcript is spliced from 5 exons.
CAUAUGCCAAGUCAACAAUAGUUUCAACCUGAAGAUUCGUCGUCUCCUGUGGAUAUGCAAAUUCAACAGUCGAUUCAGUCUGGUAAUUCCGACGACUCAUAUGGAACCCACCAGUUCGAAAAUAUGCAUCCGCAAUUUAAUUACAAUGGUGGUCAUUACAACUGGGGAAUGCAGCAGCCGUACUGGAACUAUAAUUCACAUUUAAUGAAUUCUUCUUAUCAAACACCAUCAACUGUCCCUGAAUUUCCGAGCCAGCAAAAUAUUGGAGCAAUAACAAGCUAUAGGCCAAAAGAAUCACAUCAUCUGCAGCUUCGUAACUAAUCAGAAUAUUUUCAUUUUAAACGUAUAAUCCUUAACCAUAUUUUUUUAGAUGCUGAAAGUAGUUCCGGCCCUUCUACAUCCCGAGAUUCUUCGUCUUAUUAUGCUACGGAUUCUCCAUUGUCUCUUCCCAUUCCAAAGAAAGUCAAUCACGACAAAAAGAAAUACUUCUCUGACCUUGCCAAGAUUAAUGAAAAGUUGUCUAUGAUCGAUAAAAAAAUUAAUCCAGAUGACGAAUGCAUUGAGGAAAUAGAUGAAGGCAUUGCUUCUCUUCCAUUAAAAAACUUAGAAGAAUUGGAAGCAUUCGAAAAAAUGCUGAAGAAAGAUGAAAAUCUGAAGAAGCUAGUAAGUUUUCAAUAAUUUAUAUAUUUCAUUUAGUAUGUUAAACUCCUCUUUCAUUCAUGAAUAGAUAGUCCGAAAAAUCCGUCUUUUAGGAAAAAAGAAUUCCAAAAAUUUAGAAGGUGACUAUGUACAAAGAGCGUGGAGAACAGUAUUUGAAGAUUCACUCUCUAAGGAUGUAAAUUGGCUUGGGAGAUGUGAUAAGAGAGUAAACGGUGGAAUGGGAAAAAAAGGAAUCCACUCUUGUCGUAUAACGGAAUUAGUAAGAGUUGGAAUCAUCUCCAAUUCAAAGUUUAAAGAUCUGGAAAAAGAAGUGUUCGUCGCUGAAACCAAAUCGUAUCUUCAUAAUGCAAAAGGGCGUUUUGUGGCAGAACAAGCGAAACUUGCGGUGGAAGACAACAGCAGCGAUUCUAAUUAAUAAUAAGACUUGAAUG